Molecule: long non-coding RNA, 808 nt
Filed under: Struthio camelus australis
Lineage: Eukaryota; Metazoa; Chordata; Aves; Struthioniformes; Struthionidae
Description: lncRNA (ENSSCUG00000002381.1)
Source: RNAcentral
AACAGCUCCAGGGCCUCCAGUCCUGGGCUGGGGCACAAAGCAAGCAAAGGGUGGCCAGGGGACAGGGGACUGAAGGACUCUGUUAGAGUGUGGUUGAUGCCUGCAGCAGAGCACAGACCCUGCAACUAACCGUCUUCCUCCUCUGCCUCAGAGCAAGAUUCAUUCAUAUUGUUGUGGCUGAGAGGCUCUCCCUCCCCGUCUCUUGUCUCCCUGCCUGCUGUGUGCCUUGAAUAUUGAUGGAGAUCUGACUCUCCCUGCCGAAGGAAGCCCAGAGCCAGCUCACACUAGGAGGACCUGCAAAUGCAUCAAGCGAGGUCAGAAGGCGUGCAAGUAUUUUCUACCCUGAGCAGGCUCGACACAUCAGGUGCAGCUCAUGCUGCAGUGAGACAAACAGACAGCACCGCUGCUGGCUCCUGAGUGCUCCCGGGAGAGCUGUUUCCACACCAGCCUGGAAAUUGCCUGCUCUUUGCUCAUUUAUUCAAGAAGGUCAGACCGAAUAAAAGCCAUACGCAUUUAAAAUGAGACUCAGGUGCCAGAUUUAGAGUCCUGCCCAGGGAGGAGGCAGCAGAAGAGGCACUCCAACCGUGGUGAGAUCUCAGAGAAAUUCAGCACACACAAGGAGCGGCUCUCUGGAGUAGCUAAGCCAGCACCUCCUGCCUUCCUUCAGGAGCGAGAAACCCUCACCGCGGGCAGCGUGGAAAAUCCUUGGCUGGUCAUUCUUGCAAUCAACAGAGUACUCCACCUCCUAACUUCCAACCUUGGCUUAAAGAGAGUGCGAACUUCUCAUGGGGCACAUUAAAAUCUUUCC